Molecule: transfer RNA, 72 nt
Filed under: Apaloderma vittatum (bar-tailed trogon)
Lineage: Eukaryota; Metazoa; Chordata; Aves; Trogoniformes; Trogonidae
Rfam family: tRNA
About the family: Transfer RNA (tRNA) molecules are approximately 80 nucleotides in length. Their secondary structure includes four short double-helical elements and three loops (D, anti-codon, and T loops).
Source: Rfam by way of RNAcentral
GGCUGGUUAGCUCAGUCAGUUGAGCAUAGCACUAACAAUGCCAAGGUCACGGGUUCAAUUCCCGUUCAGUCC